RNAcentral lists this ribosomal RNA (253 nucleotides) under uncultured bacterium. RNAcentral's name for it is "partial 16S ribosomal RNA". It matches the Rfam family "Bacterial small subunit ribosomal RNA", at positions 524 to 776 of the family's 1533-position model. The record is from RNAcentral.
UACGGAGGGUGCGAGCGUUAUCCGGAAUUACUGGGUUUAAAGGGUGCGUAGGCGGCUACGUAAGUCAGGAGUGAAAGUUUGCGGCUCAACCGUAAAAUUGCUUUUGAUACUGCAUAGCUAGAAUUAGGAUGAGGUCAGCGGAAUGUGGCAUGUAGCGGUGAAAUGCAUAGAUAUGCCAUAGAACACCAAUUGCGAAGGCAGCUGGCUAGACCUGGAUUGACGCUGAGGCACGAAAGCGUGGGGAGCGAACAGG